CACUAUGAUGCCUUUCUGAUCGACUCCUGCUUCGACGUAACCGCUCUCUUUCCCGCUCCUUGUCCCUUUCACUGUCACGAUCACGCUCCCUCCUGUCUCGAUCACGAUCACGCUCACGAUCUCUAUCCCUGUCCUUCUCUUUCCCAUUUCUCUCCUCUCUAUCUCUGUCCCUCUCCCUAUCUCUACCUCUCUCCUUCUCCCUAUCUCUAUGUUCCCGGCUACUCCGGUGUCGCUCCCUCUCUGCAUCUCUAGAUCUUGAGCGAUGACGAGAUGAACCCCUAUCUUUAUGCCGGUAAUCACGAGAUUCAUCUCCCGAUUUUGAGCGCUUUGAGCGAUGUCGGUCAUCAUCCCCAUCAUCCUUCUCAUUGCUCUUAUGUUUUGAACUACGACUGCUAUCUUUAUCCCCAGGCUUCAUGGCAUCACCACCACCAUUGGCAGUUUCCUUUGCUGUAUGGGGUUCAGUAUUCUCAACCGUUUUUUCCAGGUAAUCAUACUCAUCAAACUCCAUUUUAACUACCGUCCAAUGAAUCAGACAAGCAACCUUGGAAAUAAAUCUUAUUACAGCUCAGAAAAGAAUAAUGAGAUGAAAACAGAGACCGAAUUGCUGCAAAGCAAGGAACCAAAUGCGAAUACUGAGAGAUCCAAGCGAGUUCUGAAAAGCAGAUUUUGGCACCCGUACCAGGAGUUUCCCUGUGUGUGACUCUCGCGCUCUGUCUCUCUCGAGCUAGG
Molecule: unclassified non-coding RNA, 729 nt
Filed under: Hevea brasiliensis (rubber tree)
Lineage: Eukaryota; Viridiplantae; Streptophyta; Magnoliopsida; Malpighiales; Euphorbiaceae
Source: RNAcentral